Molecule: long non-coding RNA, 750 nt
Filed under: Fukomys damarensis (Damara mole-rat)
Lineage: Eukaryota; Metazoa; Chordata; Mammalia; Rodentia; Bathyergidae
Description: lncRNA (ENSFDAG00000027711.1)
Source: RNAcentral
CCCCAAACGACUGCAUGCAUAGGUGCAUGCUUGGAUCAACACAGAGAUACGCAUUUCUGAGCAAGGCUUGUAAUGGUCCCUGUCCCUAAAGGGGCCAUGUGGUGAAGUAGGUAUCCAGCCCUACCAGAGGUGACUCUGGCCAUCAGGCCACCACAAAGGAGCUUGAUCUAGGACCUGGAAGAUGCACAAGCUCAUGCAGAUGCCUGCCACUUCUACUGGUGGCACCAUGUGGACAACCAGGGACCUCUUUGGCCAUGGAGGCAGAACAGCAGCAGCAGCAGAAGAGGAAUAAGAUACUGCAGCAUCACAAUCUGCUGCUCCCAGUCUCCUCAGGCACCCAGGAGGCAGAUCAUUGGAAGAGAAGACGGCCCAGGCUGGAGUCCUGGGAGACGCCACACAUGAGCAUGGAGCGGGUGAAUGAAGCCAGUGGAGGAGCAUGGGCAGGACAGAGCUCAAGAACAGAAAGAGAAGGCAGGAGCAGCCCAGAGGUGGCAGGGCUGACCUUGCCAGGGCUCAGGAGCUGAACAUGGAUCAUAAGAGGAGGAUGGAGUCUGCCCUCUGGAGGUGAAUGAGAGUGUCUGUGAAUAGCACCUGACUUGGUAUCACUGGCAGCCAACUGUGGGAAGUCAACACUAUGAGAUCAAUGGUCUCGCAGAAGAGGGACUGCAGCAACAAUUCACCUUUCUUCAUGGAAAGUAUAAUCAAAACCCACACUGCGAAGAAGUAGCAAUCCUUUGGAGAACAGAAGAC